AACACGAUUACUGGUCCACCUAGAAAUGCCGUGGAGCGAUUUAAGAGCCUCGGAAAUUUCCUUUAAGGUCAGGAGAGAAGCUGGUAACAGAUGGGGCGAAGGAGGAAAAGUUCUUUUUGCGGCACCCUCACGCCUUCCCAGCCCUUUCGCGGUUUACUCGCUCCCCGGAAAGCAGGGCAUUCAAGCAGCCCUGAGGAGAGGUCCACAUGGUGAGCCACUGAGGGCCUUGCCAAGAGCCAGCACCAACGGUCCAGGUUUGGAGUGUACCACCUUGGAAGUGAAUCUUCCAGUCCAGUCAAGCCUUCAGAUGACUUCAGAACCGUCCAUGUAAGCCACUCUUGGAUUCCUGACCCACAGAAACUGUUGGAGGCAUUAUCAACAGUUUCUAACAUCACAGACAGACAAACAUGUGCCUCCUGAUUGAAAAAACAGAACAUCACCUGUAGUCUUGCCAGUGAGAUCAAACUGAAGUCCAAUUAACCUCUGGAUCCAGCUGCCAAUUUGCAGGAAAUAGAGGAGAGAAGCAUCUGUUGAACUGCACCAUGAGUAUACACUCAGCAAAGGCCAAACUGUGGAAAAUGAUACAGGUCAAACAGCCUGGAUUCUUUAACAGACGGAGUCUCACUCUGUCACCCAGCCUGAAGUGCAAUGGUACAAUCUCAGCUCACUGCAACCUCCGCCUCCCGGGCUCAAGCAAUUCUCCUGCCUCAGCCUCCUGAAUAGCUGGGAUUACAGGCACGCGCCACCACGCCCAGCUAAUUUUUGUAUUUUUAGUAGAGACGGGGUUUCACCAUGUUGCCCAGGCUGGUCUUGAACUCCUGACCUCAGGUGAUCCACCCACCUCAGCCUCCCAAAGUGCUGGGAUUACAGGCAUGAGCCACCGUGCCUGGCCUUUUGUAUCUGUUUUAUUUUUUAAAUAAUAAGAUUAAAAAUAAAUAUUCUGCAUGAUUAAACAAAUACAGAUUUAAAUUUUUACAGUCCAAUUGAGUGAUUUCCUCAUGUUCCAAAACCAGGAAGUAGGUGUGGGACAUCUAUCUCCGUAUUGCAUACACAGUCUGGAUUCUAGUUGUAGACUCCAUAUGGGCUGUCAUACACGCUACUACAGAAAUGAGAGAAAUCCUUGGGAAAUGGAACCAUCUCACACAUGAGAGACAUCUCUGACAACUUAUUCAUAACUGAAUACUUCUCAUUUAUCUUUACCAGUAAGUGAUGUUUCUGAAGCACCAAUGAAAAUGAAGUCCUGAAGUCCUGUGCUCAAUAUGAAAUGUUGGAAGUUAGAAGAAAAAAACAAAACUUGGAUCCAAUCUCAAGGCACUUUUUGUUUAAUGGGAAGAAGUGGAUUAUUUUAAAAGCUACAAAUAAAGUUACAUAAAAGUA
Molecule: long non-coding RNA, 1377 nt
Filed under: Homo sapiens (human)
Lineage: Eukaryota; Metazoa; Chordata; Mammalia; Primates; Hominidae
Description: non-protein coding lnc-MAP3K9-3:22
Source: RNAcentral